CCCAUUAAGGAUGUCUGGUCGUACAGGAAAGGGCAGGGGCGACUCCCCACUCUUCAAAACCCUAGAACUUCACUAAUCUUGCAAAUUGAAGGUCCAAUUCAGUCCAAAAUCGAAAUUUAAGCAUGGAUUAUUGAUCCUCAUCACAAGAGGAUUAAAAGUUUGAUCUCGUCAAGCUAAGUGGGAGCUGGAAAGGAAUGGAUCAAACGGAUCAUGGAUGCGAAGAAUGUUUGCGCGGACGCGAGGGUAAAACGGCUUAUGGAAUUUACGUGGCUAUGAAUCAGCAAAUUAUUAAGGCAAGGUAUUAAAACGGGUCAAUACUUUGACCCGCGCCAGGUACGCGUAAAUUUGGUGAAAGAUAUGUGAAUACCUUAAUGUAGAAAAAUGACAUGUGAAAGUAGAGAGUAGGAUUUAAACUUAAAUGAUUAAAUCCUCUCUAACGGGUCAAAAUAAGAACUUGAACGUAAAUGGGUUCUAACUAAGUAAGAAACCCAUGAUUUAUGAUUUAUUUGAUAGGAAAUAUUGAAAUUAUGAUUUUCAUGAGUUUAUAGAGCAAGUAAACAUGUUUGUUUGAUAAAAUCGCGAACGGGUUAAAAUUUGGUAAAAAUGGUAUUAAGCCGAAGACUUAAAAGUCUUAAAUUUUGUUAAUUCGGAUGUUGGAUUUUGACCCCAUACUAUGAAGGGUCAAAUUACAAUCAUGUAGGAAGAAACGGUGGGUCAAACGGAUAAGCGGUUUGAAAGAUACGAAAGUUUUCGUGCCAAUAAACGGCAAAAUAGGAAAGCUGGAAUGCAGGGGCCACCGUAACUUACGGUGACACCGUAAGUUACGGUGGAGUUGAAGGCUUUACGGCAGCCCCCUACUGAUUUACGGUAGGGGCAUGUCACACCAGGGGCCACCGUAACUUACGGUGCCACCGUAAGUUACGGUGGAGGCCAGUUGGGAAAUCCAUGUUUUGAGAUCAAGAGUUUAACGUUGGGAAUUCUUUUUCCUUCCAUUAUCAUUACCGGAUUUGUUUAGAUUUAUUUCAAUCCCCGUAUGACUAAAGCAUUUCAUGUUUAUGAAAUGUAGGUUCAUUUUGGAUGCCGAGAGACGAUCAAGCUCAUCGAAGAACCGAACACGAUAUAGUUACAUGCUUCCGCACUUUGCCACGUUGUAUAUUUUAAACAACGAAUUCGAUCACGUUUUGUAGAAUAACUUAUGAAUUGUAAAAGUUUUAAUUUACUCGAAGUUUUUUUAAGGAUACUUAACCUUAAAUACAUGUUUGUUUUCGUAAAUUAUACGAAAACCUUUAAAAUAAUAACUAGGGUGUUACAAGACAUAGAUCAAGGUCUUCUUAGGUCUGGAGACUCUCUUCUCCUCCACAAAAUCCUAGCACCUCUCCACCCUUCUCCUCCACCCCAUCUUCUCAACCGCCGCCACCCACCCUCCCACCAGCGGCACCCUCCCACCGUCCGCCACCACCUCGUCACCCUCCCAUCGUCCGCCACCCACCUCUGUAACCGUCGCCACCGUCCGCCAACCUCCCUCCUCAUUAGUCGUUGCCACCUCGUCACCCUCCCUCCUCACCAGUCGUCCGCCACCUCGUCACCGUCGUCAGCAGCCGCCAUCAUCAGCAGCCGCCUUCAUCAGUAUCUAUCCAGGUAAGUUAAAUUUAUGUUUUUUUUGUUAAUUUCAGAAAUUGGUGCUAGUUUUCAGAUUGCGGAGUUGUUUUUUAGAUUUUUUAUGUCAAAAUUUUGGUGUUAAUUUUAAGAAUUGUGGUGUUACUUUGCUGACUUUUAGUUGUUAAAAAUAGUUUGUAUUCUCAGUUUUAUAUUCUUCUUUUAAUCAUGAUUGUUUUUGUAUUUUAUAACAUAUAAAUGGUGCUGGACUGGAUCAAUGAGGUUGGACGUGUAGCGGGCUUGGAUGUCUGGACGACUAUUGGGCUUGCUGGAACUUGGGCUUAAAAGACUAAAGGAGAGGAUGCUACUAAUUGGGCUUCAUCAGUUGUGUGCAUGGGCUUCUAACUUCAUCAGUAUAGAUUGUAACUAUAUAACACUGACUUCAUCAGUUAUUAUAUUGAUUUUACCAGAUAUCUUUCUCUCACAAAAAAAGUUGUUCUGUCUAAAGAACUUUCUCUCUCCUAGGGUUAUACAUUUAUCAGGUCUUUUGUUGAUGUUCUCUUGUUGAGAUCGUGUGUCAGUCAUUUAGAUCUUGUAGGUAGUGUAUGCAGGUCAUCUAGUUGAUGAUCUGCUUGUGAAGAGUGGUUGUUGUUCAUUGUCUGUACAGUUUUUUAUUGACGAGUUUAUCAGAUCGGAGUCUUU
RNAcentral lists this long non-coding RNA (2298 nucleotides) under Helianthus annuus (common sunflower). Its description in RNAcentral is "hypothetical non coding rna". Lineage: Eukaryota; Viridiplantae; Streptophyta; Magnoliopsida; Asterales; Asteraceae. The record is from RNAcentral.